Molecule: ribosomal RNA, 440 nt
Filed under: uncultured bacterium
Lineage: Bacteria
Description: partial 16S ribosomal RNA
Rfam family: Bacterial small subunit ribosomal RNA
Source: RNAcentral
CCUACGGGGGACAGCAGUGGGGAAUAUUGCACAAUGGGGGAAACCCUGAUGCAGCGACGCCGCGUGAGUGAAGAAGUAAUUCGUUAUGUAAAGCUCUAUCAGCAGGGAAGAAAAUGACGGUACCUGAGUAAGAAGCCCCGGCUAACUACGUGCCAGCAGCCGCGGUAAUACGUAGGGGGCAAGCGUUAUCCGGAUUUACUGGGUGGAAAGGGAGCGUAGACGGCAGUGCAAGUCUGGAGUGAAAGGCGGGGGCUCAACCCCCGGACUGCUCUGGAAACUGUACGGCUGGAGUGCAGGAGAGGUAAGUGGAAUUCCUAGUGUAGCGGUGAAAUGCGUAGAUAUUAGGAGGAACACCAGUGGCGAAGGCGGCUUACUGGACUGUAACUGACGUUGAGGCUCGAAAGCGUGGGGAGCAAACAGGAUUAGAUACCCCUGUAGUC